UCUUGGGUUUCAGAAAGGCCGAUGGCCCCAAAACUGGGAAGAGGUCAUGGGCUCAAGAGGGAAGGAAAAGCAGAGAUCAGACAGUCAGACAGUCUGAACGCGUACCGAACAACUUAUCAGAUGUACAAAGAGUAGGGAAUGUUUAUGAAAAACAAGCCCCCACGUCUCGCUCGUUCCUAUCCCCAGAUCAGAGCCUUGUUUCUGAGUCAGAGCUGAAAAUCAGCCUUUGGAAGUGUUAUUGCUCACCAGGGGCAUGUACUAGGAUGAUACAGCAACAUUACUUUUGAGCUCUGUGGCAUUGUGACCUCAUCUGGCUUAGAGGAAUCUCGGAAAGACUCAUUUGUGGCUUUAAGUAGUGACCAAAUUGGCUAAAAGUCCCAAAGAUAAAACAUGUUUGACAUGUUGCUUCAGGAGGAAGUUUGGAACACUUGGUGAACUUCUUGAGAAAUAAGUAAGUGGGCACCCACAAGAUACUACAAGCUAUUGGAGGCGUUCAGUAUAUCAAAUCAGAAAAUUGAGCAAAGUACUGAGGAUCACGGAGGACAGAUCAGUCAACUCUGCCUGUGAUAUUCAUAAACAAAGUCUUCAUAGAAGAGGUGUGAAAGAUUGAUGCCGGCCACUUAAUUUACCUCAGAUGGUGCAAUCCAGUUUGUGCCAGUGGAUGACCUCCACUUGGAAGAUACAGGAUUUUUUAGAAAAUAAUACCAACUGGAAGAGAACAGAAGGAAGGCAAGAAAUUUCUCUUUCGUCUUUAUUGUGUCCAAGUGAAAA
Leopardus geoffroyi (Geoffroy's cat) is the source of this 771-nucleotide long non-coding RNA. RefSeq lists it as uncharacterized. The transcript is spliced from 4 exons. The record is from RefSeq and is a predicted model, not a curated record. NCBI's taxonomy places the organism in Eukaryota, Metazoa, Chordata, Mammalia, Carnivora, Felidae.